GACGAACGCUGGCGGCGUGCUUAACACAUGCAAGUCGAACGGACAGGCCCUGCUUUUGUUGGGUGCUCGUGUGGCGAACGGGUGAGUAACACGUGUGUAACCUGCCCUUGUCUUUGGGAUAACUUCUGGAAACUGGGGCUAAUACCGGAUAGGAUCUCCUGCUGCAUGGUGUGGGUUGGUAAGUUUCGGCGGUUGUGGAUGGACUCGCGGCUUAUCCGCUUGUUGGUGGGGUAGUGGCUUACCAAGGCUUUGACGGGUAGGCGGCCUGAGAGGGUGACCGGCCACAUUGGGACUGAGAUACGGCACAGAAUCCUACGGGAGGCAGCAGUGGGAAAGAUUGCACAAUGGGCGGAAGCCUGAUGAAGAAACGCCGCGGGCGGGAUGACGGCCUUCGGGGUGAAAACAGCUUUCGACGGUGACGAAGAGUGAGUGACGGUAAUGGGUAAAGAAGCACCGGCUAACUACGUG
Molecule: ribosomal RNA, 468 nt
Filed under: uncultured bacterium
Lineage: Bacteria
Description: partial 16S ribosomal RNA
Rfam family: Bacterial small subunit ribosomal RNA
Source: RNAcentral